AGGAUUAACGCUGGCGGCGUGCAUGAAACAUGCAAGUCGAGCGCGGCGCGUGGCUUCGGUCACGCGUCUAGCGGCGCACGGGUGAGUAACACGUGAGCAACCUACCUUCGAGUUCGGGAUAGCCCUGGGAAACCAGGAUUAAUACCGGAUGUGGUCACAACGGGACAUCCCGAUGUGAAAAAAGGCGCAAGCCGCUCGAUGACGGGCUCGCGGCCUAUUAGCUUGUUGUGGGGUAACGGCCUACCAAGGCGACGACGGGUA
This 261-nucleotide ribosomal RNA is filed under the name uncultured bacterium. RNAcentral's name for it is "partial small subunit ribosomal RNA". It matches the Rfam family "Bacterial small subunit ribosomal RNA", at positions 26 to 285 of the family's 1533-position model. The record is from RNAcentral.